RNAcentral lists this ribosomal RNA (441 nucleotides) under Pectobacterium carotovorum. Its description in RNAcentral is "bacterial SSU rRNA". It matches the Rfam family "Bacterial small subunit ribosomal RNA", at positions 338 to 795 of the family's 1533-position model. The record is from RNAcentral. RNAcentral also lists the same sequence under 1 other name. Lineage: Bacteria; Pseudomonadati; Pseudomonadota; Gammaproteobacteria; Enterobacterales; Pectobacteriaceae.
CCUACGGGGGGCAGCAGUAACGAAUAUUCCGCAAUGAGCGAAAGCUUGACGGAGCAAUGCCGCGUGUAGGAUGAAUCUUUUCGGAGUGUAAACUACUGUCAGAGACUAGGAACUCAAUGACCAAUCUCAAAGGAAGGGCCGGCUAACUUCGUGCCAGCAGCCGCGGUAAUACGAAGGGCCCGAGCGUUAUUCGGAAUCACUGGGCUUAAAGCGUACGUAGGCUGGUAUAUAGGCAUUUUGUGAAAUCCCUCGGCUCAACCGAGGAACUGCAGAGUGAACCAUAUAUCUUGAGACAGACAGAGGUCGUCGGAACGAUUGGUGGAGUGGUGAAAUGCGUUGAUAUCAAUCGGAACGCCGAAGGAGAAGUCAGGCGACUGGGUCUGUUCUGACGCUGAGGUACGAAAGCGUGGGUAGCGAACGGGAUUAGAUACCCUUGUAGUC